GUAGGGAAUAUUGGACAAUGGGCGAAAGCCUGAUCCAGCCAUGCCGCGUGAUAGAUGAAGGCCCUCUGGGUUGUAAAUAUCUUUUAUCUGGGAAGAAACUCCUCUAUUCUUAGAGGCCUGACGGUACCAGAGGAAUAAGCACCGGCUAACUCCGUGCCAGCAGCCGCGGUAAUACGGAGGGUGCAAGCGUUAUCCGGAUUCACUGGGUUUAAAGGGUGCGUAGGCGGGUUGAUAAGUCAGUGGUGAAAGCUCCGGGCUUAACUUGGAAACUGCCAUUGAUACUGUCAGUCUUGAAUGUCGUGGAGGUAAGCGGAAUGUUGCAUGUAGCGGUGAAAUGCUUAGAUAUGUUACAGAACACCAAUUGCGAAGGCAGCUUACUAUGCGAUAAUUGACGCUGAGGCACGAAAGCGUGGGGAGCAAACAGGAUUAGAAACCCCAGUAGUCC
Molecule: ribosomal RNA, 445 nt
Filed under: uncultured bacterium
Lineage: Bacteria
Description: partial 16S ribosomal RNA
Rfam family: Bacterial small subunit ribosomal RNA
Source: RNAcentral